This is a non-coding RNA of Paramuricea clavata, 185 nucleotides long. Lineage: Eukaryota; Metazoa; Cnidaria; Anthozoa; Malacalcyonacea; Plexauridae. The record is from the annotation of a GenBank genome assembly.
GCCACUCCCACAAACGUCUACGACCGCACCUACAUAUUUUUGCAUGUUUACAAUAAAUUCUAAUUUUAAACAGCCAGUCGACGUUUAAUUGUAAUUGUUACCAAGAAACGGAUUGGCUGUUCAAAAUUGGAAUUGUAAACAUGCAAAAAUAUGUAGGUGCGGUCGUAGACGUGCGUGGGAGUGGC